UAAGACGAACCGUCCAAACGUUAUUCGGAAUCACUGGGCUUAAAGGGCGCGUAGGCGGCCGAGCGGGUCGCGGGUGAAAUCCCCCAGCUUAACUGGGGAACUGCCCUCGAUACCACUGCGGCUCGAGGAAGGAAGGGGUCAUGGGAACUGUCGGUGGAGCGGUGAAAUGCGUUGAUAUCGACAGGAACGCCUGUGGCGAAAGCGCAUGACUGGUCCUUUUCUGACGCUGAGGCGCGAAAGCCAGGGGAGCAAACGGGAUUAGAUACCCCGGUAGUCCUGGCCUUAAACGAUGAGAACUAGGUAGUGGGUCCGACCUGGGCACACUGCCGAAGCGAAAGUCUUAAGUUCUCCGCCUGGGGAGUAUGGUCGCAAGGCUGAAACUUAAAUGAAUUGACGG
Molecule: ribosomal RNA, 397 nt
Filed under: uncultured bacterium
Lineage: Bacteria
Description: bacterial SSU rRNA
Rfam family: Bacterial small subunit ribosomal RNA
Source: RNAcentral